GAUUCCCUGAGUAACGGCGAGCGAAAAGGGAAGAGCCCAGCGCCGAAUCCUCCGCUCGCAAGGGCGUGGGGAAAUGUGGCGUUUAGGAGUGAGCGUGCCGGUGGUUGAUUCUGCAGCAAGUCCCCCUGACCGGGGCUGUUACCCAGAGUGGGUGCGAGGCCCAUAGCUGCUAAGUCUCCUCCGGAUGCGAUCUCCUUGGAGUCGGGUUGCUUGGGAGUGCAACCCUAAUCGGGUGGUAAACUCCACCUAAGGCUAAAUACUGCCGUGAGACCGAUAGCAAACAAGUACCGUGAGGGAAAGUUGCAAAGAACUUUGAAGAGAGAGUUCAAGAGUACGUGAAACUGCUCAGAGGUAAACGGGUGGGCCCUCGAAAUCCUGUGGCGGGAGGAUUCAGUCGGGAGGCGUGGACUCGGCUGCCGGAAUUAUUUAAUGGAUCCCGCGAGACGGGCCGUUCCGGUGUCGUGCAUCCGUGCCNCCCGACGCAUUUGUUUCCCGUCCGAAGGACGCCGAAACCGGUUGGGAAACGGCCUUACGGGCGAGAGACGGCAGGUGGCCGGUGGUGUUCCUCUUAGGUUCGCCGCCGGUGUUAGCCAUUUCGCCGCACGGCUCGUGGCCCGACCGUGGUGUCGCGAGGCCCCUCAUGGGCCUCAUCGCCUCCUCCUUUCUNAAAGGUAGCGGGUAGAAGCGUGACAGGAGUUCGACCCCCUGCGGGCGCACGGACCGACUCCGUGGCCCAGCGUCGGGUUGUCUUCGUUGGUUGCGCAGGGCCCGUCGGAGUGUUGGCGGUUAUCGGCGAGUAGAUCGGUCACCCACCCGACCCGUCUUGAAACACGGACCAAGGAGUCUAACAUGUGUGCGAGUCAAUGGGUCUCGAAUAAGCCCAGAGGCGCAAUGAAAGCAAAGGCCGGAUUCAAAGCCGUCUGUGUUGGGAUCCCCGGAUCUUAAAGUCCGGGGCGCACCAACGACCCGUCCUGUUCCACUUGUGGAUUGGGCGGAGUCUGAGCAUACACGUUGGGACCCGAAAGAUGGUGAACUAUGCCCGGGCAGGACGAGGCCAGAGGAAACUCUGGUGGAGGUCCGUAGCGGUUCUGACGUGCAAAUCGAUCGUCAGAUCCGGGUCUAGGGGCGAAAGACUAAUCGAACCAUCUAGUAGCUGGUUCCCUCCGAAGUUUCCCUCAGGAUAGCUGGCGCUCGGAGAUAUCAGUCUCAUCCGGUAAAGCGAAUGAUUAGAGGCCUUGGGGCCGAAACGACCUCAACCUAUUCUCAAACUUUAAAUGGGUGAGAAGUCCGCCUUGCAUGACUGAAGGCCGGACGUUACGGAUGAGAGUGCCCAGUGGGCCACUUUUGGUAAGCAGAACUGGCGCUGUGGGAUGAACCAAACGCCGGGUUAAGGCAUCCGAUGCGAGACGCUCAUGAGACCCCAUGAAAGGUGUUGGUUGCUCUAGACAGUAGGACGGUGGCCAUGGAAGUCGGAAUCCGCUAAGGAGUGUGUAACAACUCACCUACCGAAGCAACUAGCCCUGAAAAUGGACGAUGCUCCAGCGUCGAGCCCAUACCCGGCCGCUGCGGCAGACCUCUAUCUUAUGGAGACUUAAGCCGCAGUGAGUAGGAGGGUCGCGGUGGCGAGCGUGAAGGUGCCGGGCG
RNAcentral lists this ribosomal RNA (1644 nucleotides) under Pimoa rupicola. RNAcentral describes it as "eukaryotic LSU rRNA". It matches the Rfam family "Eukaryotic large subunit ribosomal RNA", at positions 73 to 1417 of the family's 3401-position model. Lineage: Eukaryota; Metazoa; Arthropoda; Arachnida; Araneae; Pimoidae. The record is from RNAcentral.